GUGAGAGGAGACGGGAGCCAAUGAGGUCUCCGCGUCCCACCACUGGGGAGAGAUGGUCAAGUGUGGGAGGCAAGUUGGUCCCCACUUGCGAGUCUGUCAGGUUGCCUAGCAACAGAGCUGGGCUUCACCUGUGAGAUUUCUGCAAUACUUUAUUUGAAUUCAAUCUUAACGUCUUCUAAUUCCCAGAGCAGCCAAACGCGCCUGCAUGACAAGUUUGAACAGGAUGUCACUCAGAAUUUGUAAAUGUGAAGGAGUGACUUACCUAACUAGAGGCUUUGGAAGAAGACGCUAGGGAUAUACUGCCCCCUUCCUGUUGAGAGCUGCCGACUCGCAGAAAGAGGGUGCUCCCGGCGAUUCUUCACCAGGAGGACACAGUGAGAAGGUGGCCAUCUGCAAGCCAGGAAGAGAGAACUCUCACCAGAAUCCCAACCAUGGCAGUGCCCUGAUCUGAGGCCUCCAGCUUCCCGAACCAGGGCCAGGUGGCACAGCCUAGAAGGACAGGAGAAUUGACACUCUGCACAGGUGAACUUUGACCAAUGAGAGAUGGAAGCCAGAAGACAAAUUCUUCUCCCUGCCUCCUCUGGAUUGGUUGGAGGCCAGUCACCUCAUACAGCUCUCUGAGGACAUCUCCCAAGAUAGCAGCAGCCAACUCAUGAUGCCCUCCCUUAGUAUUUGUUUCCCUCUUUGCUUCUCUCACUCCCUUUUCCCCUUACUCCUGCUCUCCUGAGAUUGAAUUCCUAAUAAAAUGUUAGCACUUGAAAAAAACAAAACAAAACAAAACAAAACAAAAAAACCUAUUCUGGUAGGUCCAGGGCAACUCUGAAAGUAGAGAAUCAAACAGGGACUCAUCUGUUUCCUUCACCCUUUAUAAUUCCCAAGGCCUCCAUGAUCCCAUUUUCUUCUCAAACCUAUAUUUUCUUGCAGAUUGUACAAUUUGUCUGCACUGUGAUCUGGGUUUAGCCAAAUCAGUCCAUCAGAAACUAUUUCUUCUGCCCUUCCUCCUCUACAAAGAAUGUUCUUUAACUUACUGAUAUAGAUCGUUAUGCCCUGGGAGAAAGAUGAACAAAAAUGGAGAUAAAGUCCGUUUUAUGGAUAGGCUGAUGUCAGAGCUAUAAGGAAGAGUUAAAGAACAUAAAAAUUCUGAGAUUAAGAAAACUUGAGGGACACCUGGGUGGCUCAGUCAGUUAAGCAUCCAACUCCUGGUUUUGGCUCAAGUCGUGAUCUCAGGAUCGUGGAUCGAGCCCCGCAUCAGGGUCUGCACUCAGCUGGGAGUCUGCUUGAGAUUCUCUCCCUUUCCCUCUCCUGCUUGCUCACAUGUGCUGUCUCUCUCAAAUAAAUAAAUAAAUCUAAGAAAGAAAAAGAAAGAAAGAAAGACAGAAAAAACUUGAGAACACUGGAGCCCAGUCCCACUGGGUUUAUUUAAUGUACUCUCUCAGGCCAGGUCUUGGUGGAAUUUAACCCUUAGUACCCUUCUCACUCUUCAGUGGAGGGUGGUUAUAGGAGGGCAUGACUCUUCUGUGGUGUCUUGUUUUCAUUGUAAUUGGCCGAAUGAGAGGUCACCUGCCUAUAUAAAUUUUAUCAGUAAAUAUUUACUGAGUGCCUACUAAGUGCUAAAUCCUGGAUGAAGGAAGGAGAUAUUUACUCGCUCAGUGGUUUAUGCAGAGGUAGAGUGGCAACAAGAUGGAAAAGCUACAAUAUACCAAUUAAUCGAAUUAUCUGCCAAUGAUUUGUGAGAAAGAGUAUAAUCACAGCAUUUAGGAUAGGUUGUGGUGAACUUGGAGUUCUCUUAAGUUACCAGAGGGAAACCAUGUGAUUUUAAAAAUUCUAUAAUCGGGGCACCUGGCUCUCUUAGUCUGUAGAGCACACAACUCGAUCUCAGGGUUGUAAGUUUGAGCCCCAUGUUGGGUGUAGAGAUUACUUAAAAUAAAAUCUUUUAAAAAAGUGCUAUGGUUGGGCGCCUGGGUGGCUCAGUUGGUUAAGCGACUGCCUUCGGCUCAGGUCAUGAUCCUGGAGUCCCAGGAUCGAGUCCCGCAUCGGGCUCCCUGCUCAGCAGGGAGUCUGCUUCUCCUGCUGACCCUCCCCCUCUCAUGCUCUCUCUAUCUCAUUCUCUCUCAAAUAA
Molecule: long non-coding RNA, 2119 nt
Organism: Mirounga angustirostris (Northern elephant seal)
Lineage: Eukaryota; Metazoa; Chordata; Mammalia; Carnivora; Phocidae
Exons: 3
Source: RefSeq, a predicted model, not a curated record